Hydra vulgaris (swiftwater hydra) is the source of this 472-nucleotide non-coding RNA. The record is from RefSeq and is a predicted model, not a curated record. Lineage: Eukaryota; Metazoa; Cnidaria; Hydrozoa; Anthoathecata; Hydridae.
CUUGGAAUUUACUAAAAACAUUUUAUUAAAAAAAUCUUUGUGCAACUUAUUUUAUUUUUCAAAGCUCUAGCCAUAUCAAGAUGGAAGAUUGAGGAAGAAACAUAACAAAAUAAUAUGUCAAAAAAAAGUCCCAUUUUGUGGAAUAUAGAUAAAAUAUCAUUUUUUUUGUUAAGAAAACUCAUAGGUCUUAAAAAAUGAACACUUCUAAAUAUAAUUUAACUUCAUCUUCUAACCAUAUAUAUAGGCUUUGUUAUUUGUAAGCAAAAAUAAAGCAUUUUUUUGUUUUCAGAUAAAAAAAUCUAUGAAAUCUAUGUUAAAAGCAAUUUUUAUACCAAUCAAAUCCAAUCUAAUGUCAAAACAGAGGGACAGAUCCAGCACUCUUUGGUGUUUCAGAUAACUAACUUCCUGACAUGGAUCAAACACCAAACAUUCAUAUGCUUAUACUUAUGUCAAAUAAAGAUGCUUUGCAAAA